UUGAGAAUAAAGAUUUAUCGGUAAAGGAUGGGGAUGCGUUCCAUUAGAUAGUAGGCGGGUAACGGCCCGACCUAGUCGACGAUGGAUAGGGGUUCGUGAGAGGAAGGUCCCCACAUUGGAACUGAGACACGGUCCAAACUCCUACGGGAGGCAGCAGUGAGGAAUAUUGGUCAAUGGACGAGAGUCUGAACCAGCCAAGUAGCGUNAGGAGUGAAGGUACGUCGGAAUGUAACUACUUUAUUACGGAGUAAAGAAGUCGUGGAGGGCGAAGGACGCAACAGGGAGUAAGG
This 290-nucleotide ribosomal RNA is filed under the name uncultured Bacteroides sp. Its description in RNAcentral is "partial 16S ribosomal RNA". It matches the Rfam family "Bacterial small subunit ribosomal RNA", at positions 195 to 491 of the family's 1533-position model. The record is from RNAcentral. Lineage: Bacteria; Pseudomonadati; Bacteroidota; Bacteroidia; Bacteroidales; Bacteroidaceae.